CAGAGAGCGGAGGAUCUUCAGCCUCUAAGGGACCAGGAGCCAAACUCGAUUGUGGACUCAGUGAUCAGUGGAUGAAGAUACCGAGACCUGAUUAUAAUGCAGCAGCUGGUAGUUUGGAUGGCUCACAAACAAAAGGUUUUGUAGCGGGCGCGAAUGCUUAUCCAAACAAUGGAUACGGUGCAGGGCUGGGAUAUCCGUAUGCAGGGAAAACUGCUCAAGCUGGAUAUGGACAAGGAGUCCACCCUGGG
Oryzias melastigma (Indian medaka) is the source of this 248-nucleotide long non-coding RNA. RefSeq lists it as uncharacterized. The transcript has 6 exons. NCBI's taxonomy places the organism in Eukaryota, Metazoa, Chordata, Actinopteri, Beloniformes, Adrianichthyidae. The record is from RefSeq and is a predicted model, not a curated record.